AACGAACGCUGGCGGCAGGCCUAACACAUGCAAGUCGAGCGCACCUUCGGGUGAGCGGCGGACGGGUUAGUAACGCGUGGGAACGUACCCAGAUCUAAGGAAUAGCCACUGGAAACGGUGAGUAAUACCUUAUACGCCCUUCGGGGGAAAGAUUUAUCGGAUUUGGAUCGGCCCGCGUUAGAUUAGGUAGUUGGUGGGGUAAUGGCCUACCAAGCCUACGAUCUAUAGCUGGUUUUAGAGGAUGAUCAGCAACACUGGGACUGAGACACGGCCCAGACUCCUACGGGAGGCAGCAGUGGGGAAUCUUAGACAAUGGGGGAAACUCUGAUCUAGCCAUGCCGCGUGAGUGAUGAAGGUCUUAGGAUCGUAAAGCUCUUUCGCCAGGGAUGAUAAUGACAGUACCUGGUAAGGAAACCCCGGCUAACUCCGUGCCAGCAGCCGCGGUAAUACGGAGGGGGUUAGCGUUGUUCGGAAUUACUGGGCGUAAAGCGCGCGUAGGCGGAUCGGAAAGUUGGGGGUGAGAUCCCGGGGCUCAACCCCGGAACUGCCUCCAAAACUAUCGGUCUAGAGUUCGAGAGAGGUGAGUGGAACUCCGAGUGUAGAGGUGAAAUUCGUAGAUAUUCGGAAGAACACCAGUGGCGAAGGCGGCUCACUGGCUCGAUACUGACGCUGAGGUGCGAAAGUGUGGGGAGCAAACAGGAUUAGAUACCCUGGUAGUCCACACCGUAAACGAUGAAUGCCAGUCGUCGGGCAGUAUGCUGUUCGGUGACACACCUAACGGAUUAAGCAUUCCGCCUGGGGAGUACGGUCGCAAGAUUAAAACUCAAAGGAAUUGACGGGGGGCCCGCACAAGCGGUGGAGCAUGUGGUU
This 870-nucleotide ribosomal RNA is filed under the name uncultured Alphaproteobacteria bacterium. Its description in RNAcentral is "bacterial SSU rRNA". It matches the Rfam family "Bacterial small subunit ribosomal RNA", at positions 28 to 946 of the family's 1533-position model. Lineage: Bacteria; Pseudomonadati; Pseudomonadota; Alphaproteobacteria. The record is from RNAcentral.